Molecule: ribosomal RNA, 445 nt
Filed under: uncultured bacterium
Lineage: Bacteria
Description: partial 16S ribosomal RNA
Rfam family: Bacterial small subunit ribosomal RNA
Source: RNAcentral
GUGAGGAAUAUUGCGCAAUGGAGGCAACUCUGACGCAGCCAUGCCGCGUGCAGGAAGAAGGCGCUACGCGUUGUAAACUGCUUUUAACCGGGAAGAAACCCCAGGACGUGUCCUGGGUUGACGGUACCGGAGGAAUAAGCACCGGCUAACUUCGUGCCAGCAGCCGCGGGAAUACGAAGGGUGCAAGCGUUAUCCGGAUUCAUUGGGUUUAAAGGGUGCGUAGGCGGAGCGUUAAGUCAGUGGUGAAAUCCUGCAGCUUAACUGUAGACUUGCCAUUGAUACUGGCGCUCUUGAGUGCGCUUGAAGUGGGCGGAAUGUGCCGUGUAGCGGUGAAAUGCUUAGAUAUGGCACAGAACACCAAUUGCGAAGGCAGCUCACUAAGGCGAUACUGACGCUGAGGCACGAAAGCGUGGGGAUCGAACAGGAUUAGAUACCCUAGUAGUCC